RNAcentral lists this long non-coding RNA (7669 nucleotides) under Homo sapiens (human). RNAcentral describes it as "HSALNT0306437". The record is from RNAcentral. Lineage: Eukaryota; Metazoa; Chordata; Mammalia; Primates; Hominidae.
UCAGAUGCAAGGGGUAAAGGAGGCGGAGAGGGAGCAAAGCCAUCAGGACAAAUAGCUAAUGCACACUAGCUUAAUACCUAGGUGACCGAUUGAUAGAUGCAGGAAACAACCGUGGCACACAUUUACCUAUGUAACAAACCUGCACAUUCUGCACAUGUAUCCCAGAACUUAAAGUAAAAUAAAAUUUAAAAAAAAAAACCACUGGGAGACUCUCCCCAGGGCCACCUCUCCCGUGCACCUUCAGCCUCUCCUUCUCUACCAACCUCUUGCGACCAUCAGGCAAAUGUGUCUCUCCUCGUGAAAGAUCAAACAAAACUCGAUAAAAAGACCUUCAACCCCUUGUUCUCCUCCUUGCUGACAGCUUUUUGAAAGUGCCUGUAAUUGUCUCCAUCUCCUCAUCUUGUAUUCACUUUCUAAGUGUUCUUUUCUGCAUGUGCAUGUCUUGAUUCCUUGCUCUUUUCUGGAUUUGCAUUGCCAAUUCCCUGUCAAUCACUUAUUUUUGUGAAUGGGUCACUAGUGCAGAGGUCGUGACCUUGGGCUUGUGUCUUUGCAGGGAGAAGUUGAGACAUCCCCCAGGCUUGCGCAGUGCCCCUCCAUUGAAACCAAGCACACUAAACUCACUGCCAGCCUUCUUGGUGGGUCCAUUAGCGCUCAUCUCCCAUUCCCUCUGCCGCACCAGAACCUCAACUCCAGUCGCUCACCAGCUGCCCCUUAAAGGCACCCCUCACUGGCCACUGCCCUGUCAGUGAAGAGUAGCUGCCUCCACUAGAAGGCCUCCCACUCCCUUUCCCCUAAGCCAAUGACUGCCUCCCUAACAUCUCUCAAUUCUCUCCAUUCCCACUGCCGUUGUCCAGUUGAGACCACCAUCACCUUCAAUCUGCAUCACUGCUGAUGCAGUCGUGACUUCUGAACUAGGCUCUCGGCUCUGGUUCCCUCCUCUCUAAUUAAGAAUCCACAUUGCCACCAGAGCAAGUAACAGACCUGUCAAAUCUGUUACUCUGCUGAGUAAAACUCAAGGGAUAAAAUCUCAACUCCUGAGUGCAGCUUGAAUUGUGUCCCCCCAAAUUCAUAUGUUGAGUUCCUAACCCCCAAUGUGACUGUUUUUAGACAUGGGGCCUUUCAGGAGGGCAUUAAGGUUAAACAUGGUGAGAUGGGUGGGUCCCAAUCUGAUAGGAUGGGUGUCCUUAUAAGAAGAGGGUGAGACGCCAACAGUGUGUUCUGCACAGAGGACACAGCAAGAAGGUGGCCCUUUGCAAACCAAGGAGUAUGGCUUCAGGAAAAAACAACCCUACCAGUCCCUGAAUCUUGGACUUUGAGCCUCCAGAGCUGUGGGAAAAUAAAUGUUGCUUAAUUAUGUUGUUAUGCCACGUGGUCUGGUAUUUUGUGAAGGUAGCUGAGCUUCCUGGGAUGGAGACCUUUCGUAUGCUUUGCCCCAGCUUCUCUCUCCACCCAGCUCUUGGGCCUGCGCCCUUUCAUGCCCAUGCUCCAGCCAGAUGGAGCUGCAGGCACAUCCUUCAAUGUGCCACACCUCCCUUAAAUCAUGCCCUCACCAUUUCCUCCACGUGGAUGUGUCCGCUGCGCUCGCCAUCUCUACCACCUGGAUGGCUUCCAUACUCAUAUUGGAUGUGGGCUUAAGACAGCUGUCUAGAAUUGUCAUCUCCACUUCCUCAUCCCACUUAACAGGUUUCUUUUACAUGAAUUAAUGAUCUAUAUUUUUUCUUAAUUUUCACUGAUGCUUCUUUACAGUUGUAUCAUUUAUUCUUGUGUAACCUCUGUGCUUUGUAUCCUCCUCCUUCAAACUCAUGUUAAAACUUGCCUACUCCACACCAUAUGCCCAGACCAGGCAACUGACACCCACUGAUGCUGGAGGACUUGCAAAGCUCCCUGGACUCCCUAACUCUGCUCUUCAUGUGCGUCUCUGUACAGGUGUGUGUAUGUGCAUGUGUGUGUGCAGAUGUUUGUAUGUGUGCAGGUGAGUGUGUGUGUGCAGGUGUGUGUCUCUGUGCAUGUGUGUAUGUAUGUACAUGUGUCUGUGUGUUUGUAUAAACAUGUUCAUGUGUCUGUGUACGUGUGUACGUGUCUGCGUCUGUGUGUCCAUAUGUGCAUGUCUGUGUGUGCAUGUGUCUAUGUGUCUGUGUCUGUAUGUGCAUGUGUGCAUGUGCAUAUGUGUGUGUUUGCAUGUCUAUGUGCCUGCAUGCAUGUGUGUGUGUUUGUGUGUCUGUGUAUAUGUGCGCAUGAGUGGAUGUGUGCACCGCUCCGGACGAGCCCUCCUUCCUGUCAGUGCCUUCUCUACCACAGCCCACCUGGAUUUGUCUGUCCUGGGAAUGCUCCCACAGGGAAUGUUGUGCCUGCAGGCUCUUGCUGAUAUUGAGCUAAAAAUGCAACUGUUGAUGUACCCAAUUUAAGAUUAAACUCUUCCCACCCUCAUGCACACCCUUGCCAGUCAGCUGCCUUCUUCAGUGACCUCUAGAUAUCACAAACAAGCCAGGUUUAUCAGCUCCUAGUGCCCUUAGAGAAGGGGGCUUUUCCCAGCUGCCCCCAGCCUGGGGUGGGGGGUGUUAAUGCAAGAGCAGGAGUGAGGUGGGCUAACCACCAGCCGCUCUGAGGGGCCUCUGAGCACCGGGCAGCAGUCCUGCUCCACCCCAAGCCCCAGCCCCAGGACCACACUGUCCACUGGCUCCUCCCAGACAGGCUUAAGGCAGGAUAGUGCCACCCUCUGACAUCCCAUGGUAACAUUAAAAAUCCGUAUAAGGGGAGUUCUAACAUUUUCCUCCUAAGCUCAGUGGAUUGACUUAGGCUUCCCUGGCUUCAGCAUCUGCUGGGCACUCAGGGGUGCACAAACGCCUGAGGGGACAUGGUAUUGUGCCAGAGGCAAUGGAAGCUGCAAUAGACAGGACACGUUUUCAUGGAGCAUCAGUCAUACUCAGCUAUGAGUGAUUCAAAAUACUUUAACAUAGAUACAAACACCGCGGUGUUAUGGAGGAGGAUACACCACCCACGCACGUUGUGAAGGUCCAGCAGGAGGACUCGGAGGAAGCUUCCGUGCUGUGGGACACUCUGGAAUCUGGGCCAGAUCACCAAGAGUGUGUCUUCUUCUGAGAUAGGGGCACUUGGCGAAAACAUUUCUGAAACAAUGUGCUAAGUGGAGGCUGUGAGGCCUGAACGUGAGAAGGAGUUUUAAGAAACUUGGAGUUACUGGGUGGCUGAGUGUUAAAUAAGAACAUUUGUCCUUUACCCUAAAUGAGCGUUUACUCACUCGCUCAUCCAUUCAUUCAACAGAUAUUUCCUGAAUGCCUACUCCAGUCCAGGCACCAUGGAAGAUGUUGGGCCAAUUAUUUGGGAAAAGUCUCAUCUUACUAGUAUCAGAUAUGGGGAGAAGGAAGGGACAAUUAUGUUUGGAAAAUAGGAGUAGAGGUUCCUCUAAAUCCCAAAUACUCUUUUGUAUCUCUGUUUCCCUGACUGCAAUGAUGGUUACAGAAAGGAUGAUAAAGGAGAAAUACUUUGAAAUGAAAAUUGCUAUUUAUUUGCAAAUGAAUCUAAAUUAUGAGCAUAAUUUAUUCCUCCGGAAAAUAUGAAUUGAGCACCAAUUCAUGCCAGGACUUGUGCUGGGCGUGGUGGGGAGGACAAAGAUGGUCCCGAGGAGAGCUGCCCACACAGGGGAGCUUGGUAAGGAGACAGGAGACAGUGCAGAUGAAAAGCCUGGGAUGGAUCAAUGGGUGCCACAGGACUUCCACUUGGGAAGAGGUGAUCUGCAUUGUACACUGUUAGUGGUGUGGUUACUCCUUUUUCUCCCAAGAUUUCACUAUGCUUAUAAAUAAAUACGAUAACCAGAACAAUGGCUAUACUGUGAAGGCCCGUGAGCAAGUGGCUGGUUCGCCAAUGGUCAUCAUCAACAACGUCUCAGCAGCUCAGACUUAGGACUGUGAUUAGCCUCAUCAUGCCUGCAUGGACGAGGCACAGGCCCUGUCUGAAAAACACAAGCUGCAGGCAAGCAUGUGUCUGUGUGCUGUGCUGGUGUUGCUGGAAAUACACUUGGGAAGGUGAUGCCCACUGGAUUAAACCCGUGAUGCAGGGAAGAGUUGUAAGAUCUGGUGAGUCGGUUAGCUAGAAUGGAGGGGACCGAGAAGGUAGGUUGUACAUGUGGGUCCUCUCCUCCCCUCUGUUCCCCUCCACAGACUGUUCCCCAGCCAGAAGCACCUGGUAAGCCUCUGCAAGUCCUCAGAACUAGAAAGAUUAGAAAGAGAGAGAGAGAACACAUGUGGAUGAUACCACAGUCAGUGAGAAGGGACUCCAAGCUCAUGCCUCUGGGGGAUGGCCUCAUUGCCAUCUCUGGAUCCAGAGGGCAAAUUAUUAGCAGUUCUAUUCAGAAAAAGGGCUAGAGAGCAGGGGCAAGAAAUCAUGCUUGCAGUUGCUCUUGAGGGCAGAUGUAUUAGUUUGCUAGGGCUGUCAUAAGAGAGUACUGCAGAUUGGGUGACUUAAGCGACAGAAAUUUCUUUUCUUACAAUUCUGGAGGCUAGAAGUCCAAGCUCAAGGUAUCAGAAGAGUUGGUUUCUUCUGUGGCCUGCCUCUCUUCUUGGCCGUCUUCUUCCUAUGUCUUCACAUGGUCUUCCCUCUCUGAGCGUCUGUGUCCUAAUCUCUUUUUAAGGACACCAGUCAUAUUGUCUUAGGCCCCACCCAUAUGACCUACUUUCAUCACCUCCUUGAAGGCUCUGUCUCCAGAUACAGUCACAUUCUGAGGUACUGGGGAGUUAGGGCUUCAACAUAGGAAUUUUGGGGGGACACAAUUCAGCCCAUAACCAAAGUGUCUCCUUAACUUUGGUAAAAUGAAGCAAUAGGAAAUAAAUAAAUAAAUAAAUAAAAAUUAAAAAAAAAAAAAAAAACAGCUCUCUGUGCAGAGUGCUAUAAAGGCCUCUCCGGGUCCUGGUGUGGAUGACAUGAAGACUGAGCCAACCUGACCCUUCUUGGCCAGGACCUCGGUAGGGACCGGCUCCUCUCGAAGGCCUUCUCUGCAGGAGGGUGGUGAGAAUUCUAAGAGUCUGUUGACCCAACCACAUGCAUGAAAAGGGAGAUCCUCCUUGAUCCCAAAUGUGAUAUGGCCUCACUGCCCAGUGAAGUGAAGCCAUCUGCACAGACGGCUGUCAGGGCCCAGUCUGAGCUAGAGGCAGCACUUCCCAGAGAUGGGCCCUGAUGCUUCCUCUUCUUUCCCAAGAACGUGCUCCCAAAUUCACAUUUCCCCACUGGCCCAGGCCAAAUCCCCAUCUUUUAGAUGCGGUGCCCCAGGAGGCCAUGUGGUAUGGGGUUGAGAUCUCUGUCACUGUAGAGGCCUGAGCCUUCGAGAACCUGACGGAGAAGCAGCUCCCCCAGAGCGUCGCUUUCCUCUCUGGGGAAGUGUGGGCUUUCCUGGGUGCUGACAGCAGGAGGCAUCUGUAAUGCUGCUAACAGCUCUGUGUGGCUGUAAUCUGGUUUAUGCAAAUCCAGUCACUUUGCAGCCCACAGGGAAAGCUGGAAGGAGGGAUCUGCUUUGAUCUCUUAUCAAAGAAGAUUUUGCAUUUACGUGAGAAUGGCUAAUGCUAAAAAUAUUGCUGUUUGGGAGAAAUGGCCCAUCCCUGCCCUGAAUUUAUAAUUUAUAAUGAUACUGUAGCAUCUUGGAACACUCGUCAUUAAACAAACAAAUGUGAAACUCCUCCUUUAUUCUUCACAUAAAGACCAGAUGAUGAGAAGGCAAAGCACCCAAGUGCUCGUGCCUGUGUCCCACCCCUGCUCUUGCGCAAGAGUCCUCCACCACCCGUACUCCAGUCUGACCGUAGCUUCCAGAACAUGGGAAACUGCUUUCCCCUGGCACAAGACUCUGCACAGAAGGGCUGGGCUCCAGCAACUUUGUUUCAGAAAGAAGUUUCUUCUCAUUCUGAUCCAGCCCAAGGAAACAGGAUUUAAGUCAGGAGACUGGGUCUGAAUCUAAGCUCUGCCCCUCACCAGCUGUAAGGGAUUCACCUGGGUGAGCUCUUACCUCUGAGUCUGGACUUCCUCAUCUGUAACAUGGGAAUGACACUAUUUGACCUUCCUCCUUCCUCCUUCAUGGGGUUUGACCUUCCUUCUUCGUGGGGUUUGGUGAGAAUCAAAUGAAUUAGUGUACAUGAAGGUGCUUGUAAGUGAUGAAGCUUCAUAUACCUUGCAGGGGACAUUUUUUGGUUUUGUCACCCAGCAUCUGUUACCUCACCUUCUAGUAACAGUAUAAUGACUAUACUAUAACCUAAACUUCCUCUGGACUGUUGGUCCCCAGGCUACUGGUAGACUUGACCUUCCUCCUGUCUCCAGUGGACUUGACCUUCCCCUAGUCCCAGGAGAUAAGUGUCACUCAAGGCCUGGCAAAGGGAAGCCUUGCCCCGCCCCACCCCCAUAAGCCUCUUCCCGUGGUGGACUGGCUCUCAGAAUCCUUUCCAACCUCUCUCCAGUGUGCCGUCCUGUAUUACAACUUGCAAGAGCUGUACAGCUAAAAUCUACCUUUUCCUGACUAUUCUGUGGACAAUGAUCUGAAUGUAAAUUACUAUCCAAAAUGUUCCACUCAAGAUUUGGAAGACAGGUAUGUGACACUUGUGUCUUGGGUUUGAGAAGCAGAUGGGUGGCAGUGCUGGCCUCCUGAGGCCUGUAUUACAAAUAUGGCGUGUGAACUUGAACUCAGUUGCUCCCAUGGCAGUCUCCUGAUCCCCCAUCUUGCCAGGUGUUUCAAAGACCAUAGCUCUCUGAAGCAGGUCAGUUCUGCUGUGUUCUGGGAGUCAUUUCUGAAGAUUCCACCUGGAACUCACUCCUUCAGACCAUCCAACAAUUCUGCAAGCAUCCAGUACCUGUGUUAAAUCCUGGUCUGCUCUCAAUAUCUAGAGUGACUUCUGUGUUCAAAAAUGAAACCCACCUGGUACCAAUGAAAUGGGCACUUGGAACCCGACUAGGACCCAAGAGUCAGAUCACACAACGUCAUUUAAACAGCUGAGAAAUGGAGGCUAAGUUUCUGAUGGACUCGGAGGUUAUAAGGCCAGAGCAGCUAGCAGCCCUCCUGCCUUCACAAGGAGCUUGUCUGAGGUAAAUAACCAACCCGAGAAGGGCCACGCUGAGAGGAGAGGAGCCCGUUCUUGACACCUUUUGAGUAGCUGAACAAAACAACGUCUUGUGCCAAACCUACUUCUGGAUCUCCAGUUACGUGAGCCAACACAUUCCUCCAGUCUAAGACAGUUGGCAUCAGACUAUUCCAUCAUUUGAUCAAAACAUAAUGUAUGAGGGACGUGAUGCUAACAGGAGCGAAACCACAUGGCAGCAGUGAUCACGUGGUUACAGAUCACAUAUUCUCAGCCAGAGGCUAGGGAUCUCCUGGGAGCGUUUUAUAGGAUACACGUGAAGAGGUGUGAGCCUAGGCCUUCUGGAUCCCAUGAGGGACACAUGCGAGCAACCGGAAAACCUCACAGGUGAAGGGGGUCCCAUAUGCACCCCUAGGGACGGGGGCUGCUACGGACCAACGCGUCGGGAAGGGAAGGCCAACAAUGGGUAUUCCUUGGAAACACUUGAAUGUUUGAAUCCCAGUUUUAGGCACUAACAUUAUUUUUUACUUAAUUUUGAUUUUCUUCUUUUAGGGUUAAAAAAACCCCUUGCAUUAAUUCACUCAGUAUUAUAACCACCAGAU